RNAcentral lists this ribosomal RNA (609 nucleotides) under Wolbachia endosymbiont of Bemisia tabaci. Its description in RNAcentral is "bacterial SSU rRNA". It matches the Rfam family "Bacterial small subunit ribosomal RNA", at positions 202 to 834 of the family's 1533-position model. Lineage: Bacteria; Pseudomonadati; Pseudomonadota; Alphaproteobacteria; Rickettsiales; Anaplasmataceae. The record is from RNAcentral.
AAAAUUAUUGCUAUUAGAUGAGCCUAUAUUAGAUUAGCUAGUUGGUGGAGUAAUAGCCUACCAAGGCAAUGAUCUAUAGCUGAUCUGAGAGGAUGAUCAGCCACACUGGAACUGAGAUACGGUCCAGACUCCUACGGGAGGCAGCAGUGGGGAAUAUUGGACAAUGGGCGAAAGCCUGAUCCAGCCAUGCCGCAUGAGUGAAGAAGGCCUUUGGGUUGUAAAGCUCUUUUAGUGAGGAAGAUAAUGACGGUACUCACAGAAGAAGUCCUGGCUAACUCCGUGCCAGCAGCCGCGGUAAUACGGAGAGGGCUAGCGUUAUUCGGAAUUAUUGGGCGUAAAGGGCGCGUAGGCUGAUUAAUAAGUUAAAAGUGAAAUCCCGAGGCUUAACCUUGGAAUUGCUUUUAAAACUAUUAAUCUAGAGAUUGAAAGAGGAUAGAGGAAUUCCUGAUGUAGAGGUAAAAUUCGUAAAUAUUAGGAGGAACACCAGUGGCGAAGGCGUCUAUCUGGUUCAAAUCUGACGCUGAAGCGCGAAGGCGUGGGGAGCAAACAGGAUUAGAUACCCUGGUAGUCCACGCUGUAAACGAUGAAUGUUAAAUAUGGGAAGUUUAC